RNAcentral lists this ribosomal RNA (464 nucleotides) under uncultured bacterium. RNAcentral's name for it is "partial 16S ribosomal RNA". It matches the Rfam family "Bacterial small subunit ribosomal RNA", at positions 339 to 795 of the family's 1533-position model. The record is from RNAcentral.
CUACGGGCGGCUGCAGUGAGGAAUUUUGCGCAAUGGGGGAAACCCUGACGCAGCAACGCCGCGUGAGCGAAGAAGGCCCUCGGGUCGUAAAGCUCUGUCAAGUGGGAAAAAAAUUUUUUGAUCAAUAGUCAAAAGACUUGAUGGUACCACUGGAGGAAGCACCGGCUAACUCCGUGCCAGCAGCCGCGGUAAUACGGAGGGUGCGAGCGUUGUUCGGAUUUACUGGGCGUAAAGAGCGUGUAGGCGGUUUAGCAAGUCAGAUGUGAAAGCCCUGGGCUCAACCCGGGAAGUGCAUUUGAAACUGCUUCACUAGAGUAUGGGAGAGGAGAUUGGAAUUCCUGGUGUAGAGGUGAAAUUCGUAGAUAUCAGGAGGAACACCCGUGGCGAAGGCGAUUCUCUGGACCAAUACUGACGCUGAGACGCGAAAGCGUGGGGAGCAAACAGGAUUAGAUACCCCCGUAGUC